Molecule: transfer RNA, 65 nt
Filed under: Pseudoglomeris planiuscula
Lineage: Eukaryota; Metazoa; Arthropoda; Insecta; Blattodea; Blaberidae
Description: tRNA-Asn
Source: RNAcentral
UUAACUGAAACCAAAUUAGAGGUAUAUUAUUGUUAAUAAUAAAAUUGAAAUAAAUUCCAGUUAAG